UACGUAGGUGGCAAGCGUUAUCCGGAAUUAUUGGGCGUAAAGCGCGCGCAGGUGGUUUCUUAAGUCUGAUGUGAAAGCCCACGGCUCAACCGUGGAGGGUCAUUGGAAACUGGGAGACUUGAGUGCAGAAGAGGAAAGUGGAAUUCCAUGUGUAGCGGUGAAAUGCGUAGAGAUAUGGAGGAACACCAGUGGCGAAGGCGACUUUCUGGUCUGUAACUGACACUGAGGCGCGAAAGCGUGGGGAGCAAACAG
This 252-nucleotide ribosomal RNA is filed under the name uncultured prokaryote. RNAcentral's name for it is "partial 16S ribosomal RNA". It matches the Rfam family "Bacterial small subunit ribosomal RNA", at positions 524 to 775 of the family's 1533-position model. The record is from RNAcentral.